This 101-nucleotide transfer RNA is filed under the name Methanomassiliicoccales archaeon PtaB.Bin215. Its description in RNAcentral is "tRNA-Val". It matches the Rfam family "tRNA". From Rfam's summary of the family: Transfer RNA (tRNA) molecules are approximately 80 nucleotides in length. Their secondary structure includes four short double-helical elements and three loops (D, anti-codon, and T loops). Lineage: Archaea; Methanobacteriati; Thermoplasmatota; Thermoplasmata; Methanomassiliicoccales. The record is from RNAcentral.
GCCGAGGUGGCCCAGCCCGGUAAGGCGCGAGCCUGGAAACUUUCCGCCAGCUAGCUCGUGGCGGCAACGCCUCGGGAGUUCAAAUCUCCCCCUCGGCGCCA